GUCGACAAUACUUCAGAGAAUCAUUUCUAUAGUAUUUGUCCCACUUCUUUGUUUCCCAAAGAAGCUUCAGAUCCCACCCUGGUUGAUGACCACAAAUCCUCGUCGCCCUCGAGUGAAAACUCUCUUUUUGCCCUCGCUCUGUCCGCAAGGAUGGCGGAGAAUGGCGCGCCUCCGGGUCGCCGUCUCUGUAUAGAGGACUGUGAUGAUCUCUAUCCCGGUCACCCAGGGUCUUGCCUUCGGGCGCCUGGGCGGGAUGGGCAGCGAUGGACGUCUGACAGGC
Molecule: small nucleolar RNA, 280 nt
Filed under: Gaeumannomyces tritici R3-111a-1
Lineage: Eukaryota; Fungi; Ascomycota; Sordariomycetes; Magnaporthales; Magnaporthaceae
Description: Gaeumannomyces graminis var. tritici R3-111a-1 Fungal small nucleolar RNA U3
Rfam family: Fungal small nucleolar RNA U3
About the family: Small nucleolar RNAs (snoRNAs) are involved in the processing and modification of rRNA in the nucleolus.
Source: Rfam by way of RNAcentral